AUCUAUCUUCGGGGCAGGGUGAAAUUCCCGAUCGGCGGUGAUGAGAGUAUCUCUCUAAGCCCGCGAGCCUUAUUUUGGGGCAGGAUUUGGUGCGAUUCCAAAGCCGACAGUAUAGUCUGGAUGGGAGAAGAUGGAG
This 136-nucleotide non-coding RNA is filed under the name Bacillus sp. (in: firmicutes). Its description in RNAcentral is "Bacillus sp. FMN sequence". It matches the Rfam family "FMN riboswitch aptamer (RFN element)". Rfam says of the family: The RFN element is a highly conserved domain that is found frequently in the 5'-untranslated regions of prokaryotic mRNAs that encode for flavin mononucleotide (FMN) biosynthesis and transport proteins. This element is a metabolite-dependent riboswitch that directly binds FMN in the absence of proteins. In Bacillus subtilis, the riboswitch most likely controls gene expression by causing premature transcription termination within the 5' untranslated region of the ribDEAHT operon and precluding access to the ribosome-binding site of ypaA mRNA. The record is from RNAcentral. Lineage: Bacteria; Bacillati; Bacillota; Bacilli; Caryophanales; Bacillaceae.